Molecule: Y RNA, 101 nt
Organism: Callithrix jacchus (white-tufted-ear marmoset)
Lineage: Eukaryota; Metazoa; Chordata; Mammalia; Primates; Cebidae
Rfam family: Y RNA
About the family: Y RNAs are components of the Ro ribonucleoprotein particle (Ro RNP), in association with Ro60 and La proteins. The Y RNAs and Ro60 and La proteins are well conserved, but the function of the Ro RNP is not known.
Source: Ensembl
GGCUGGUCCUAGCGCAGUAGUGUUUACUACUAAAUGAUGACAACCGUUACAAAUUUCUUUUUUCCUUCUCUACUCCCACUGCUUUACUUGAUUAGCCUUUU